UAAACGACUCUCGGCAACGGAUAUCUCGGCUCACGCAUCGAUGAAGAACGUAGCAAAAUGCGAUACUUGGUGUGAAUUGCAGAAUCCCGUGAACCAUCGAGUUUUUGAACGCAAGUUGCGCCCAAUGCCAUUUGGUUGAGGGCACGCCUGCCUGGGCGUCACG
This 163-nucleotide ribosomal RNA is filed under the name Youngia japonica. RNAcentral's name for it is "5.8S ribosomal RNA". It matches the Rfam family "5.8S ribosomal RNA". From Rfam's summary of the family: 5.8S ribosomal RNA (5.8S rRNA) is a component of the large subunit of the eukaryotic ribosome. It is transcribed by RNA polymerase I as part of the 45S precursor that also contains 18S and 28S rRNA. Lineage: Eukaryota; Viridiplantae; Streptophyta; Magnoliopsida; Asterales; Asteraceae. The record is from RNAcentral.